This 162-nucleotide non-coding RNA is filed under the name bovine gut metagenome. The record is from RNAcentral.
UGGGUGCGUAAGCAAGGUGGGAAGCUAAGAGGGAAUCCGGUGCAAUUCCGGAGCGGUCCCGCCACUGUAAUCGGUGAGCAUUCAUUCAGGCACAGGCCAGCCACUGGUAAACCGGGAAGGCGAAUGAAUGCGACGAUCCGUAAGUCAGGAGACCUGCAUGUG